AUACGGAGGGUGCAAGCGUUAAUCGGAAUUACUGGGCGUAAAGCGCGCGUAGGCGGCUUUGUCAGUCGGAUGUGAAAGCCCUGGGCUUAACCUGGGAAUGGCAUUCGAUACUGCAGAGCUAGAGUAUGGUAGAGGGAAGUGGAAUUCCGGGUGUAGCGGGGAAAUGCGUAGAUAGCGGGAGGAACACCAGUGGCGAAGGCGACUUCCUGGGAUACAACUGACACUGAGGUGCGAAAGCGUGGGGAGCAAACAGGAUUAGAAACCCGAGUAGUCC
Molecule: ribosomal RNA, 274 nt
Filed under: uncultured bacterium
Lineage: Bacteria
Description: partial 16S ribosomal RNA
Rfam family: Bacterial small subunit ribosomal RNA
Source: RNAcentral